This 723-nucleotide ribosomal RNA is filed under the name metal-contaminated soil clone K20-02. RNAcentral describes it as "bacterial SSU rRNA". It matches the Rfam family "Bacterial small subunit ribosomal RNA", at positions 29 to 766 of the family's 1533-position model. Lineage: Bacteria; Pseudomonadati; Planctomycetota; Planctomycetia; Planctomycetales. The record is from RNAcentral.
GCGAACGCUGGCGGCGUGGAUUAGGCAUGCAAGUCGAGCGAGAACCCGCAAGGGGGGACAGCGGCGCAAGGGACAGUAAUGUGUAGAUUAUCUGCCCUCAGGUCCGGGAUAGCUGCGGGAAACUGCAGGUAAUACCGGAUAACAUCUCCGGAUCAAAGGUGUGAUUCCGCCUGAGGAUGAGUCUACAUCCUAUUAGCUAGUUGGUAGGGUAACGGCCUACCAAGGCGAUGAUGGGUAGCGGGUGUGAGAGCACGACCCGCGUCAUUGGGACUGAGACACUGCCCAGACACCUACGGGUGGCUGCAGUCGAGAAUCUUCGGCAAUGGGCGCAAGCCUGACCGAGCGACGCCGCGUGUGGGAUGAAGGCCUUCGGGUUGUAAACCACUGUCAGAGGGGAUGAAAUGCAGGUGGGUUCUCCCAUCUGUUUGACAUAGCCUCACAAGGAAGGACGGGCUAAGUUCGUGCCAGCAGCCGCGGUAAGACGAACCGUCCGAACGUUAUUCGGAAUCACUGGGCUUAAAGGGUGCGUAGGCGGCGCGGAAAGUUGGGUGUGAAAUCCCUCGGCUCAACCGAGGAACUGCGCCCAAAACUACCGUGCUCGAGGGAGAUAGAGGUGAGCGGAACUUAGGGUGGAGCGGUGAAAUGCGUUGAUAUCCUAAGGAACACCGGUGGCGAAAGCGGCUCACUGGAUCUCUUCUGACGCUGAGGCACGAAAGCUAGGGU